Molecule: ribosomal RNA, 414 nt
Filed under: Triticum aestivum (bread wheat)
Lineage: Eukaryota; Viridiplantae; Streptophyta; Magnoliopsida; Poales; Poaceae
Description: partial small subunit ribosomal RNA
Source: RNAcentral
AUGGUCAAGGAGAUCAUCCUUGACCUGUUUCGUGAGUUUUCUAGGGGAACAUUAGACGUGUCCCGACUUAAAUAUGGGAUCAUCUCCCUGAUUCCCAAGGUGCUGGGAGCUGUGGAUAUUAGGCAGUUCCGCCCUAUCGCAGUGCUCAAUGUGAUAUUCUGGAUUUUGGCGAAAGGGUAUGCCACUAGGGCGGCCCUAAUCGCCCCCCGAUCCCACCCAAACCAGUGGGCCUUCACAAAAGGCAGGUAUAUUCUGGAUGGGAUCCUUGUUCUUCACGAGGUCAUCCAUGAGGUCAGGAGCAAGCAUCUCCGCGUUGUGUUCUUCAAGAUUGACUUCCAUAAAGCAUAUGACACCAUCCACUGGUCCUUCCUUCGGGAGGUGUUGCUCAAGAGUGGUGAUAACCCACAAGUAUAA